GUGCAAAAAUUUCGCUCCUACUUGUAACUGGGAUUUUUCGUGGGGAAAAUGCCUCUGACCAAUGCUGAGAAGCAACGACGCUAUAGGGAAAGAUUAAAAGACAACCCUGAAAAAAAAGAAGAAAUAAGAAAAAAAAUCUAGAGAGAAUCAAACGGAAGACCAAAAAGAUUCAAAUUUUACAGAAGAAGAAAAGGCUGCAGAAAAAAGGAAGCAGUGGCGAAAACAAAAGCAAAAUCAUAUUUGUGUUAUAUGUUUUGAAUAGAGCAUGUCAGUUUAAUAAUUUUACUUUUGAAAUAUACAAUACUAAAUAAA
This is a long non-coding RNA of Colias croceus (clouded yellow), 312 nucleotides long. RefSeq lists it as uncharacterized. Lineage: Eukaryota; Metazoa; Arthropoda; Insecta; Lepidoptera; Pieridae. The transcript is spliced from 2 exons. The record is from RefSeq and is a predicted model, not a curated record.